UCGGCUCUGUUUUCAGCCUUUAGAAAACCUAGCCUGUGACGGGAGACUUUGGUCAAUCACAGGUCAUUUUGGCUGAGAGAGAGCGUUCAUAUUGGCUGUUCUGUUCAUGCAUAUGCCUGUGUGAAAGAGAAGGAGAGCUGCAGGAAGAGGUCUCACUCGACUUCAAAUGUUGGCUAUUUUUCUUUCUUC
Molecule: long non-coding RNA, 189 nt
Organism: Etheostoma spectabile (orangethroat darter)
Lineage: Eukaryota; Metazoa; Chordata; Actinopteri; Perciformes; Percidae
Exons: 3
Source: RefSeq, a predicted model, not a curated record